CAGGCAAACUGUGGGCUUUAGAGACUGAUUCUAGGCACAGACAUGAGGUACAGUGAGUCAUGCAGAAUAGGUCCAAUGAAAUCCUGGAAUUAACUGAUGACUUUUCUUUUUUCUCCUUAUAUUUAACUACUUUAGUUUCUGCCUGAUUUUUCUCAUUGUGUUUUUGUUUUAUAGUUUGUUUGUUUUUGGGUGGGAGAUAAUUCUAAAGAGAUGCUGGUUGGAGCUUUCCUUGGGGAAAGCGUCCUGGAACUGAACUCCUGCUCCUUCUACACGCUGUUCUCAGAUCAUGGUUACAAUGCUCAUUGAGGGCCCCUCGGUUUAAAGGGUUUCAACAACAGGAUAGCCAAGAGCUUCUCCACUAUUUGUUGGAAGCAAUGAGAAUAGAAGAAACAAAGGUAAAAUCUUUGUAUAUUUUCAGUGAACUAUCUUGAAUUGACUGUAGAUCAGAUGUCACCUUUUCACACACUUUGUUUUCUCUGUUUAAAAUCUACAUAUGAAAUAACUACUAAGGCUUGUUUCUACUAUUUUUCAAAAAAGCAACUUGAUUACUGCAUUUUCAUUUUGGUAGUUUAAAUUUGUUGAUCUGGAUACAGAUUUCAGUUGAUUUGUUGAUGGGGAUAUCAUAAAUGGUGGUGGUUAUAAUUUUACAGUGACUUUGGAAGCACCAUUUUAGGAGACUGAUUCAUCUAUAAUUUCUUAAAAAAUAUACUUUUUAAGUGGUAGGGUAAAAGUCAUGUCCCUAGCUCAUUUGGUAAAAUCUACUUCAGGAUAAAACUUCAUAUACUGCCCUACAUCCAGGGAGCAAUUAGUUUAUGUUAUAAAACUUCACUGAAACAAAUUUGAUUGGAAAAAAAUUAAAGCAAAAAUAUUAUCCAAGUUUCUAAUGUCUUUUAGGAGUGUUCUAAGUGAAGAAAAAUUGCUUGUUUUAUAAAUGAAAGUAUACUUCCCAUUACUUAACAAAUCUAGAUCCAGUACUAAAAUAAAUAUAUA
Molecule: non-coding RNA, 990 nt
Organism: Chelonoidis abingdonii (Abingdon island giant tortoise)
Lineage: Eukaryota; Metazoa; Chordata; Testudines; Testudinidae
Source: RefSeq, a predicted model, not a curated record